RNAcentral lists this ribosomal RNA (492 nucleotides) under uncultured bacterium. RNAcentral's name for it is "partial 16S ribosomal RNA". It matches the Rfam family "Bacterial small subunit ribosomal RNA", at positions 29 to 507 of the family's 1533-position model. The record is from RNAcentral.
AGUGAACGCUGGCGGUAGGCCUAACACAUGCAAGUCGAACGGCAGCACAGUAAGAGCUUGCUCUUACGGGUGGCGAGUGGCGGACGGGUGAGGAAUACAUCGGAAUCUACUUUUUCGUGGGGGAUAACGUAGGGAAACUUACGCUAAUACCGCAUACGACCUACGGGAGAAAGCAGAGGAUCUUCGGACCUUGCGCGAUUGAAUGAGCCGAUGUCGGAUUAGCUAGUUGGCGGGGUAAAGGCCCACCAAGGCAACGAUCCGUAGCUGGCCUGAGAGGAUGAUCAGCCACACUGGAACUGAGACACGGUCCAGACUCCUACGGGAGGCAGCAGUGGGGAAUAUUGGACAAUGGGCGCAAGCCUGAUCCAGCCAUGCCGCGUGGGUGAAGAAGGCCUUCGGGUUGUAAAGCCCUUUUGUUGGGAAAGAAAAGCAGCAUGUUAAUACCCGGCUGUUUUGACGGUACCCAAAGAAUAAGCACCGGCUAACUUCGUG